Molecule: RNase P RNA, 461 nt
Filed under: Lentisphaerota bacterium
Lineage: Bacteria; Pseudomonadati; Lentisphaerota
Description: Lentisphaerae bacterium (groundwater metagenome) RNase P RNA component class A
Rfam family: Bacterial RNase P class A
About the family: Ribonuclease P (RNase P) is a ubiquitous endoribonuclease, found in archaea, bacteria and eukarya as well as chloroplasts and mitochondria. Its best characterised activity is the generation of mature 5'-ends of tRNAs by cleaving the 5'-leader elements of precursor-tRNAs.
Source: RNAcentral
GUGGUCAGGUGGAUGGUCGCUCCGGGUUGCCUUUCGUUGCCGAAGGGCGUCCGGGGAGGAAAGUCUGGACUCCAUAGGGUAGGGCGUCCCUGUGUAAUACGGGGAGAUCUUUCGCUCAAGCGAGAGAAACGGAAAGUGCCACAGAAAUUAUACCGUCCUGAUGCCGCAAGGCAUCGGGAUAAGGGUGAAAUGGUGGUGUAAGAGACCACCGUCCCGAGUCGUAAGACUCGGGAGCAAGGUAAACCCCGCCUGGAGCAAGAUCAAAUAAGAUACUGAACAAGGUGACCCGCCUUUAUCCUGAUUUGCGAAAGCGGUCGGGUCAGUAUCGGGUUGAUCGCAAUAAGUCCACCCCUUUGCUUUGAUCGGGGAGGCAAGAUAAAUGACCGUCGUCCCGGUGUAUCCCGGCAUCUUUGAUGGCCGGGAACGGGAUACAAAAUCCAGCUUAUAGCCUGGCCACUUGA